ACGAGACACGGGGCCCGCGGACGCCAGCAAGGCUACCUCAGUAUCUCUCUCUGGAUUGAAGGCCAGCCCCCGAUCUAUUGUUGCUGCUGUCCAAAGCCUGGAUCUGUGCAAAAUAGCACAGAGUGUAACAUCAGCACAAUCGACCCUAUGUGCUGGUAAGUGCCUAGCCUAACCUCGGCGAAGUAGUGACGAGGCUAGGAGCAGACUAUCAGAUAAACCUAUGCAGUUCCAAUAUAUAUACACAACAAAAAGAAAAUACUUGAAGUAAUCAAUAAAGGAAAGGGAAACAUGCUUUGGGAAGCUAACAGUUACAAAUAGGAAUUCUUAAUAAAAAAUUGAAACAGCAAAACCAGAAUCAGAAACCACAAACUUGCACGGCAUCACCCUUCGUGCUUUUACUCUCAUCCUCACCAAAUCGAUCGUAUCAGUAAAUCAUGUAACGACAUCCCCCUUCGUGUUUUUACUCUCUUUUCUUACAAUAUAUAUAACCAAUGGAUAUCAGUACGGAAUGGCACAUCAUACGGCACGACAUCACCCUUCGUGCUUUCCACUCUUUCUUCACUAUAUCAAACAGUACACGGCACCCUUCGUGCUUUAUCACUCUUUCCUCACAAUAUUAAACAAUAUACGAAUAUGGGGCAAGGAAAUAAACAAAUAAUGAUAGGAAUCCUGGAAAGAACGAUUAAACAAUUAAAUCCCGGCAAGUGAACAAUAGCAACACUUUUAAUAUCCCGGCAAGGGAGAAAAUCAACCAAACAACACAACAUCUCGGCUAGGGAAUAAACCAAUAACUCAUUCUCUUUCUAUCAUUUCUUAUUUCAUAAUUUCACUUUAUCACUUGAGCCAAUGCUCUAAAGAAUUCAAUGAUCUCAUAUACCUUUUCAAUUCGUAUCACAAACCGAGUCAAUGCUCCUCGAAGUUAAAUGAUCAUAAUGUUUUUCCCAUGUUCUUUGCAACACAUAGAAAGCAUCAAGUAAGCAUGGAAAUUACAACAAAAUCACGAUAAUCACAAUAUAAGGACUCACGGUCAUGCUAGACACCAAUGUAUAUAUUCUCGUCUCCAUGUCUAUACACCGCACUCGGCAAUUUGCAAGUAGAAAACAAGACUCAACUCAUAUUCCCUCAAACUAAGGUUAGACCGAACACUUACCUCGAUGCCUUGAAUUCAAUUCAAGCCUCAACUAUGGCUUUACCCCUCGAUUCCACCACCAAACCACUCGAAUCUAGUCACAAAUUACUUAAGUACAUCAACAAAUGCUAUAUGAAUCAAUUUGAAUGCAUAAAAAUGAAUUUUCUAAAGUUUUGCCCAAAAAGUCCAAAAAUGCCCCCGGGCCCAUGUUGUCAAAUCCCAAGGUUCGAACCAAAACCCAGUUACCCAUUCCCCCCACGAGUCCAUAUAUAUGAUUUGUUUUGAAAUUAAACCUCAAAUUGAGGUCCAAAUCCCCAAUUUUACCCAUGAAAAUCAUCAAUUUUAAGUGGAAAACAUGUUAAAUGAUGUUAAUGAUGGAAAAAUAGUAUAAAUUAACUUACAAUUGAUUUGGAGAAGAAAGAUUUCUUGGAAAAUCGCCUAUGGGUGUUUGAGUUUGAGAAAGUGUGAAAAAUAAAGUUCAAAAUCGGUUAAGUAUAAAAUAUGUUGGGUUGCGAAUAUGGGAUUUGCGAAACAGGGUUCGCAAUUGGGAACCCUGCAGGCAUGGGAAUUUCGAGAAACAUGUUCGCAUUUGCGAACUUAGGACAGAUGGGAAGGUACAGCAUUUGCGAGAAAAGCCUCGCAUUUGCGAAGACUGGAGCUUCGCAUUUGCGAAGGAAAAGGCCGCAUUUGCGAUCAAGCUGCCCAGGGCCCAUCUUCGUAUUUGCGAUGAGCAGCUCGCAAAUGCGAGUUCGCAUUUGUGAAUGCUUGCUUCGCAAAUGAGAAGACUGCAGAUCAAUGAUACCAGAUUUUUUUCCAAUGUCUAGAAAUGCAACCCGUGGCCUAUCCAAAACUCACCCGAGCCCUCGGGGCUCCAAAUCAAACAUGCAUACAACCUCAAAAACAUCCUACGAACUUAUUCGUGCGAUCAAAUUGCCAAAAUAACAUAAAAAACAAUGAAUCAAACCUCAAAAUCACUAGUUUUCUCCAAACUUCAUAAACUUUCAAAUUUAGAGUUUUAAGUCCACAACACGUCAAAUGACGUUCGAUUUCAACCAAAUUUCACAGAAAGUGCUUAAAUCACAUAUAAGACCUGUAUCGUGCACUGGAAACCAAAUACGGGUCCGAUACCAAUACGUUCUAAUCAAAUUUCAUUUCAAAUUUCCUUAAAUAUUUUCAGAAAAUAAUUUCACACAAAAAUUCAUUUCUCGGGCUCUGGACCUCGGAAUUCGAUUCCGGGCAUACACCUAAGUCUCAUAUUUUCCUACGGAUCCACCGGGAUCAUCAAAUCAGGGUCCAGGUCUAUUUACCCAAAAUAUUGACCGAAGUCAAAUUUAUUCAUAUUAUUAUAAAAUAUUAGCAUUUUCACACAAAAUUCAUAUUUAAGCUUUUCGGUUACGUGCACAGACUGUACAUGCAAAUCGAGGAAACCGUGAAUGAGGUUUUCAAGGCCCCGGAAGCACUGAAAGAGUAAGGAAACUUGAAGCAAUUAAACAAAUAGGAUAAAAACUGAGGCACGAUUCCGAGACUGUCUCAAAAAUGGGAAUGGAGUUUUAACAGAGUAAACUUCAGAAAGACAAACAAGGAAAUGAGUUCAAGAAUUUAAAAGAGGCUGAGUAGUCUGAAACAUGAUUAAUCGAUUUUUAUUAGGCCUAAAUCUUGCCUAGGCGUCGUAUAUAUUGCCUAAUUACCUUAAAGGUGAACUUGCAUUUUAAUCCAGUUUUAAAAGAGAAGACGCAGUUUAGCCCAAAUUUGUGUUAUUAAAUUAAACAACUGGUGAGGAGUUCAAUAAUUGCAAAUCAUAUGAAAUAAAAAUCCUAAGUGACAUGAUAUCUAAUGCACAUAAAACUCCUAAAACAUGGUCUCUAAAUGCAGUAAUAAUUUUCCAAAACAGUUGUUUGUUGAUUACUAUCUGCUUGCAAAGUGAGUAUAAUGAUCUAAAAGUAAAGAGCCUAAACAUGAUAUCUAUAUGCGAAAUUCAUGUCCUACACAUGGUUUCUAUUGCACAAAUAGGUAAGUAAUGCCCUAUAAACACGUUUUCUACCCGUUACCAACCAUUCAUAAUCCCACCCCAUUUCACUAUAGCGCCAAUUAGUUGUUUACAAAUUAUUCUUCCAACCUCACUUCUUUCGAGCUUCACAGCCUCUGUCAUGGUUUGGGUGCGACAAAGCUCCCUAAGGGUCCGUUGGGGGUCCUUGGCCAAUACCAGCACCCAAACACUACCCAAACUGUUGAAUAAGUGCAGUGUGGAAUUAACAACCUUGUACAUCAAAGUUCAAUGGGUACUAAAAGGCACCCAAGGCAAUGCUUACACAAAGGGGGUACAACCUAAACUCUAGGAGUAGUGAGAGUGUGACAGAGUUUUAAAGAAAUUGAUUUGAAAAUAGUUUAGGAAAAUGAUCCAUACAAAAAUAGUUUUGAAAGAAAACAAUGUGACAAUUCUGACAAUCUCAUAACCAAAAUACCACAUAUAGAUUAGGGAAGUAAAUACAAACAGGGGAGAAAGGGAAUGGGGACAAGUAGUUCACAUGUAAGAACAGAAACAAUAUUUUAGGACUUAGAGAGUCACACCAGGUUUCAAACAAAAGGGGCUGGGUAUUACAUGCUAAUAAUGUACUAGGGCUAGGGGCAGGGGAGCAAAUAAGUAGGCAUGGUAGAUUAAGAGAAAGAUGAACUAAUACAGGGGCAUAUUAGUCGCAAUAAGAACAACAGAACCAUAGGUAAAAGUAUAGAAAAAACAAAUAAAGUGCAAUAUGUAUAAAACAUGUUGUUUUGGAAAAUGUAAAUCAAAUAAAGGGCAUACCAGUCGAGGAUGAGAUAAUAUAGAGCAGUAGUGUGCAGGGAAGCAGAGUAGUAGUAUGAAGAGAAGUGAGCAGUAGUAUGCGGACCAAUGUAAGUAGCAAUGUAUAGAGCAAUAAACUGGUAGAGCAGCCCAAAAUCACUUAGUCUUGGCUUUCAGCUGACUGACUAAUCAGUAAUCAACAGGGAAAGUGAGAGAGGUUUUGUAGAAAACAAGAGGGAACACGGAGUAUGUUUUGUGUGUAAGAGAGAGUUCAAAAUAAUGAAUUUAGUUCGUGUGUCUGUGCUAAAGAGGGGGCAAGGUAUUUAUAGUUCAAAUAAGAAGUGAAAAUAAGUUAAUACGUAUAGAUUGAUUAUAAUUAUAGAAAGAGUACCAAUUAGAAUCAAUCAAAGGCCCAGACUCCCUUUAGUUAGGGAGUUAUAGCUCAAAUGGUACAUAUUGCAUCAAAAUAAGGAAAAUAAUGGUAUGCAAAAUUGAUAUUCCAUAAUAGGAGUAGUAAAAGGUAUGAUGCAUGUGAUAUGGACCAAGUACAAAAAUAAUUACAAGUAAGGAAAGUAAAAGAUUAAAAAAUAAAAAUAUGUUGCAUAUAAACAGAUGGUUGACAGGCUGAUUUUGAAAAUAAUUGGUUCACGAAAUCACAAGCGAGAUGGAAAAUCACAGGGAAUCGGCAUUAAGUAAAGAAAACAUCUCACAAGCAAAGAAGCGAUUCAAAUUAGUGGAGAACCUCCAAAGAAAUCAUAUACAAAGAAUCACAGAUUCAAAGAGAUGUACAGAAUCGGCAGAACAUUAGUAAGUAGAAACAGUUAUACCUAUUUAAACACAAAAGGCACAAAACCAAGAACCCUAAGUAAUAAAUCACCGAAUCAGUGGAACGCCAUAACAAAAUUAAAGCAUAGAAAUUGGGGAAUAACCCAGAAGAUCACAUAAACAACCUGAAAUAAAAACACAGACAUAUAGUACUAGAAAAAUCAGAAGAUAUUGUGAUUUCGAAAGAGGUUCAGAAACCCUAAUUUUGAAAAGAAGAACAAAACGUUGAAAACAUGAGAAAUCGAAGAAAUCGAGCAGAGAGUAAUGUAAAACACAAAAGAAUAAGUUAAAAAUUGUUUGUAAAAGACGGAGAUUAAGAGGUCUAGGUAGAAGUUAGGGUUUUGUAAUAUAUCAGUGAGAGGUAACGAACCUGGCUGUGAAACUCGUUAAUAAUGAUGUUCGUAGCACCAUCAGACCAUAAACCAUCGGAGAAAGGCCGAAGACAAACCAUACAAAUGUUUUGGUGACCAUCUUGUACGGUGGAAGCUUUUGGAGUCUCGAAGCUAGAGGGAGUCAACAAGAUAAAGUUUCAUGGCUGUUGGUGGUCGAGAGAAGUGAGGAUGGAGGUGGUCGGAGAGGUGAUGGCUUCAUCGGAGAUGAUACAGAGAACUGGAAGGUUCUAGAGAGAAGGGAGAUAAAAA
This 5374-nucleotide long non-coding RNA is filed under the name Nicotiana benthamiana. RNAcentral's name for it is "long non-coding RNA (NBEN_LNC007723)". The record is from RNAcentral. Lineage: Eukaryota; Viridiplantae; Streptophyta; Magnoliopsida; Solanales; Solanaceae.